This 39393-nucleotide long non-coding RNA is filed under the name Brassica napus (rape). Its description in RNAcentral is "long non-coding RNA (BNAP_LNC010635)". The record is from RNAcentral. Lineage: Eukaryota; Viridiplantae; Streptophyta; Magnoliopsida; Brassicales; Brassicaceae.
AAUGAAAUAGUUAUCAUCUAGAAAGUCAGUGACACUGUGCAUGGAGAUUAUGAUAGGGUGAAUUGAAAGUGUAAAUUACGCCAAAAAUGACGGUUGAAAGUAAAUGUAUUUGUAACAUUAAUUCUUACAGGUACUUUUAGUGUGUAGUAUUUGAUCAUAUUGAAGUUAAUGGUGGUAGAGCAGAGUCAUGAUGAUAAUGUUUGGUGAAGAGCAUUUAUUAUUGCAUUAAUAGCUUAUAUUAAUUUGAUUGAUAUAUACAAGUCCAAUUUCUGUACUACUCUCCAAAUCAUUAAAUCUGGAUGAACAAAUUGGUAUAUGAUCAUUGCUUGGGCAAUAACUUGAUAAAUCAUUUUGUUUUACUUUAUGAUAAUUAAUCGUAAACCAAUGAUAGCUUUUUGUAUUGUUUAGAGUGAUUCAUAUCAAGCAACAGGAUGUUACAAUCUUCUAUGCUCUGGAUUUAUCCAAACAAAUAACAAGAUUGCCAUUGGAGCCGCCAUCUCUCCUCUCUCUACUUUCAAUGGAAACCAAUUUGAUAUCACCAUUCUCAUUUGGAAGGUUUGUCUCUAUUUAUUUGUCUUUUAUAUAUAAACAAACGUAAACUCUAGUAUUAAACUAGUUUACGUGUUACUUGAGAUAUUCCAAAAUAAUGUUUGAAUGAAACUCGCAAUAAAAUGCAUGCAGGAUCCAAAAUUGGGGAAUUGGUGGAUGGGUUUAGGAGACAAGACGUUGGUCGGGUACUGGCCAGCAGAGCUAUUCACCCACUUAGCUGACCACGCAACCACCGUGGAAUGGGGCGGUGAGGUCGUGAACACACGUGCUUCAGGCCGGCACACGACAACCCAAAUGGGUUCUGGUCAUUUUCCGGACGAAGGGUUUGGGAAAGCAAGUUACUUCAGGAACUUGGAGAUUGUUGAUUCAGACAACAGUCUUGUACCGGUGCAGGAUGUCACGAUAUUAGCAGAGAACACCGAAUGUUACGACAUUAAGAGUUCGUCUAGUAAUGAGUGGGGAACUUAUUUUUACUACGGUGGUCCAGGUUUUAAUCCUAGGUGUGCUUGAAAAAACAAGUGUACAUAGUUUGAAAUAUGUUAUUUUUUCAGUGAAAAUUGAAUAUUUGCUUAUUGUUUUUUACAUCGUCGACAUUAUUAAUUAAACAUUUAAAUCUAGUAAUUUAUUAUUGCAUUUAGAGAAAAGAGGCGUGUAUGAUAUGAGAGUUCAAACUUUCAAUACACGUUGGAAGUUUAUUCGAAGACUUGGAAAAUUAUUCAUCAAGUCGUUGAUGCUUGGACCUAGUGAUUAAGUAUGGUCCUCACUCAUCAGCCACUUGCAUAUAGCAGAAGACCCCAUGACACGUUUCUACUUUCUACACCAAUUAAAGUUUUUCUCAAUAACCCAUUGUUACCGUCGCAAACCUUGAUCAACCAUUGUAAGUCAUAGUAGGACCAAAUACAUCCCGUUCUUUGGUCUGAGUUUGAACCUUCUGCCUCUGAAAGAGACUUCAGUGAAAUACUUGGAAAGAAAUUUCUUAGGUAGUCUCCAUCAUGUUCUAAAAGAGUGCAGGACUUUGCUAUGUUCCAAGCAUAUAUACCAAAGACCGUCUACUUGUUCAAAGUUAUACAAAAGUCAUAGAAACAGUUGGGAGUGUAAAAGGAGCCAAAGGUGCUAUAUAUAUAUAUCCCUUAAGUGAGAGCCUAAAGUAAGACAAACACUUGAACUAAUCAACUAUCUAAUGGCUCUUUCACCCACUCUUGUUCCACUCAUUCUCAUUCUCAUACCGAUGUUUCUCGGGUCGGUUUCCGCCUUUUCACCACUCAAAACCGAUACGUUGAAACCGGGGCAGCAGCUCAGAGACUGGGAGCAGUUGAUCUCCUCGGGUGGCGUCUUCACUCUCGGGUUCUUUACACCAACAGAAUCAUCUACCUUCUUACUUGGUUCAGCUGGUGUUAGGUAUAUCGGUAUCUGGUCUCAACAUGGUCCAAUAAAUCCAGUUUGGGUGGGUAACCCAACCGAAUCAGUUUCUGAUUCAUCUGGCUCUCUAUCCAUUGAUACUAAUGGGAAUCUCAAGAUCACAAGAGCAAACGCUUCUCCAAUCAUGGUGAACCAACACCUUUCCUUGGCUGGAAACGUCUCUGCCACUUUACUUGACUCUGGAAACUUCGUGAUCCGAGAUAUCGGACCACGAGGUGUCCCGGGUCGGGUUCUAUGGCAAAGCUUUGACCAUCCAACCAAUGUGUUACUCCCCGGGAUGAAAAUAGGGUUUAACCUAAGAACCAAGAAAGAAAUUUCAGUUACUUCUUGGACAAGUAACCAAGUUCCAGCCUCAGGAGCAUUCAGACUAGGGCUAGACCCGUCAGGAGCUAACCAGCUACUCGUCUGGCGCCAUGGUGACAUCUACUGGUCAAGCGGAGUACUGACGAACAACGGAAGCUCUAAACUAACCUUAGAGCUGUCCAGAGAGUACCUUGAUUAUGAAUUCAAGUUUGGUUCAGACAAGUACAUGAAGUACUUCAGUUACUCAAUCAAGAAAACUAAUGGUUCUGUCUAUUCCAGCUGGUCACUCGAUACUCUAGGCCAAAUCACAGUUACCAACGUCCUCAGGAGCAACACAAGCAACAGGUGGAUCUCUGAAAGCAGUCAACCUUGCACGACGGAUUUAAAGAACAGUUCAGCGAUCUGCAUCACAGAGAAGCCAACGGCCUGUAGGAAAGGGUCAGAGUAUUUCGAACCGAGAAGAGGGUACAUGACGAGUAGUGGUUACUAUGGUGAAAGUUUGAGCUUUGGGCUUAGUGACUGCCAUGGAAGCUGCUGGAGAAACUGUUCUUGCAUAGCGUUCCAAAGCUUUUCUGAUGGACAAUGCCAGUAUUGGGGAAAAGGAUCAAAGUUUUUCCCUUAUGAUAGCUUCACCUUCGAACAAAAAAUUUAUGUUAUUGAUUCUGUGAAGUGAUGUGUUGUGUUGUUGUAAGAGUAACUAAUAUCAAUAAAGGGGUUUAAAUAAUCAAGAAACUAAAGAAUCAAGAACUUCAAAGACAUGUAAUAACUUCCUCUCUUUGCAUAUUGAUUCAACCACAGCUCUCCAAGACUCAGGCUCUGGUUUAAAACCCAUUCCCACAAACCCUGUCAGAACUCGAAUCCCCAUUUCUGCAUUCCCGGAUCCGCAGAGGCGAACUACUAACUCGUUCCAAGUCCCAUGGUGUGGCCAAACCCCUUUCUUCGACAUCAAACUCAAAAACUCCACCGCUUUCUCCAGCUCACCAUUCUUGCACAACGCGUUCAGUAUGAUCCUAUAACUACCUUUGUUCAGAUGAACUCCUUCUACACAUCCCCAUCGACCUAACAUCUCAAGAGCUUCUUCUGUUCUUCCUUCUCCGCACAACCCCCUGAGAAUCACAUUGUAAGUUAACGCAUCAGCUCUGCAUCCAGAUGCUUUCAUCUCUCCAAGUAACUCCAUAGCCUCAUCAACUUGACCAUUCCUACAGAAGCAGUUCAUCAACGUUGUAUAACCAACCGUGUCUAGUUUCAAACCAGUCUCCUUCACCUCAUCAAAGACUUCUUUAGCUUCCUGAGCCCUUCCCUCUUUACAAAACCCAUUCAUCAAAGCAGAGUAGUUAUACACAUUAGGGUUGCAUCCAUUCUUCUUCAUAAACUCUAUAAUCAUCUUUCCCCUCUCAACCUCCCCCUCACGACAGAACCCAUUGAUCAUAACAUUGAACAUCACAGGAUCCGGAGAGAUCCCUUCUUUAGAGAUCAUAUCCUCAAACAACUCCAUAGCUUCUUUGGAUCUUGACUGUACAAACAAACACUCCAUCAACGUCGAGUAAGUGAUCAAAUUCGGAUACGAAAGUCCGGAUCUUUUCAUCUCCUCCACAACCCCAAACGCAGAGUCAACAUCCUUAUUCUUGCAGUGAUGCUUCACCAAAAUAUUGAAAAUGCAAGUGUUCGGCUGCAACCCAAGAUUCUUUUUACCAUACAAUAACAGCUUCUUAGCUAAACCAACCUCCUUCGAAUCAACAAGGAGGUUGAGGCACGUGCUAACAGCGUUGAGAGAAGGCUUCACACGUGCGAUCACUUGGAUCAAACCAAACAUCUCAAUCACCUUAUCGUGCAGCUCGAACCUGGAGAAGUGUCUCAUCAGGUUGAGGAAGAGACCUUCCUGGAACCUGCAAGUCUCGUGCUUCAUCUGGCGGAGAAUCGCGUCGACGGCGUUAAGCUUCUUGUGCCUGAGGAGAUUGUCCAGGAGGACGGAGUACGUGGCGCUGUUGUGGUUGAAGCCUUUCUGUUGGGAGGCUUUGUUGAAGAGGUCGAGGGCUCGCUGAGGGUCUCUCUCGCGUUUGAUGAGGUUGAUUGCGGAUUCGUGAGAGAUGAAUUGGGGUUUAGGGUUUAGGUCCACUUGUGAGAUUGAAGAUUCGGGAGGUGGGUCUGGUUUCUUCUUGAUUAAGGAGAUGGGAGAUAUCCAUGACCGUGAGGAAGAUGAAAGGCGGCGACUUUCGUUGAUUAUCGGAGUUGGGAGGCGCAUUGUUAGUAGCACCUCUGAUCAAGAGAAUCGAAUGUGAAAUUAGGUUAAGAGACGAGUGAGAGUGACGACUGACGACGACGAUGAUGGUAAACCGGUUCGGUUGAAUAAAUAUUAGAUCUCGGUACGGUUCGGGCUAUAAACAACAUUAUCCGUUGUACGUUCGGUUUAAAAUAUGAUUCUUCAGUUUCAAAGAAUAAAUUAGAUUUAGACCAGGAGGCAGAGUUCUUCUUUUAAGAAAAUUUUAUAGCUUACUAAUUUUGAUAUGUUGUACAUUGGAUAAAUAAUUAAAUAAUUUUAUUUUUAAUUACUGUAAUUUGCUAUAAAAAUUUAGUUAAAAAUCUUUUUUUAAUUUAAACUGAAUUAAUUUAAUUUAUGUAUUUUAAUAAUAAUUAUAAAUUUACUGUUAAUUUAAAUAAUACUAUAAUAUUUUGUUAUAGUAAAAUAUCCAAAAUUCAAAAUAUCAUUGGUAGAAUACAUUUUUUUCAAUAAUAUAGAUAGUAAAUUUUCUUUUUAACCUUAGUUCUACUAUCAAGAUCUAGAAUCUUGUAUUUAGAUUAUGAUAUGUUCAUAUGUUCAAUCUUGAAAAUGAGAAUGUCUAAAGAUAUAAUCAAGAAGGAAGAAAUUUCAGAUCGAACCACUCGAUGAAAAUUUUAUUUUAUAAAAUAGUAGUAAUUUUUAUUUGCAAAUAUUUUGAAGAUUGAUUACUAAAAGACGGUUUGCCUUAGAGAAUGAUAGCAAAGAUUAAAAAUAAUAUCAAAUCUUUAAAAUAAAUAGAAUGAUUUAGAAAGAUUCUAGUGUUUUGGUUAGUUUGAAUUGAAUUUAUAUUAUAAAAAACUUAAAAUUCUAGAAGAACUACAAAAAAUAACUUAAAAAUUAUGAUUUGAAAAAUAAUUAUUUAUUUAAGAAGUCAUAUGUGUUGGUGGAUCUAUUUAUAUUGUAUAAUUACUUUCUGCUGCGGUUCUCUGUUUUCUUCUGAGAUUGAGUAACUUCAAAUUGACAAGAAAAUUUCUCUCCAUUUAAUAAGUUGGGAUGAAGUUGCCAAACGUACUGAAAUUGUGGCAGAUAGAAGUGAUAAUUAAAUUUUCAAUAUUUACUUUUAAACAUAUUUAGCUUUGAAGGUUCAGUACUAGUGGUGUCUUGAAAAAUAAUAUUCCUUUAAUUAUUCCAAAAUUAAUCAUAAUUGUCAAAGAACUGUCAUGAACAAGUUGUGUACAUCAUCCAACCUAAGAACACAUAUACCUAGGUUUCAAAAUUUUGAACAAAAAAAACAGUGUAAGUUCUUUUUUUAGUUUAUUUGUGGUUUUUUUUUGAAGAUGUGAAGAGGUUAAGUCGUCAAAAGAAUGAAAAGCUAUCAUUUGUUAAGGAUAAUACUCCAUCAUUUCUCAAAUAUACUUAUGAAUGUAUAUUAUUGUUACCGACAUAGUUAAAUAUGUUAUUAACUUUUAGAGUACAUUAUAAUAACUGAUAUUAGGAAUCAUAAUUUCUAGUUUAUUCAUGUAAAAAAUAUAAUAAUUUGCUAUACUAGAUAUAAGUAAAUUGUUAUUAGUUCAUUUUGAUAUAAAUAAUUGAAAGGAAAAUUUUACAAAAUGAAAUAAUAGCAAUUUAUUUAUAUCUGGUUUGAUCUAGUAAAAUCUUUUCUUUUCAGAUCAUAUCCUCAAACAAUUCUACCGGUUAUUUUGACCUCAAAUGUGCAAAUAAACUCCAUUGUUGAGUGAGUGAUCAAAUUGGAAUAUUCCAAAUUCUGAUAGUUGAAGUUGUGACUUGCUAAGCCCUUUAUAUCUUAUGUAAUCAAGAUAAUCAGUUGUAAAUUAGGUUUAAAAAACUCAACUGGCAAGUAGCGGAAAGCCGGUUAGAAUGAAUAAAUUUCAGAGAAACUACAUUGGUUACUUUUUUCAAAAAAAAUUGUGGCCCAGUGUAAAGUUUUCUGCCCAAUCUUCACAAUUUAUGAUAGAAUCUUAUGUGAAAUUUUUUAACUAUUUGAGCACAAAUGGACUCUCAGUAUUUAAAAUAUAAACUGUACAAAUUUCUGCAAAGAGAGGAGACAAAGAAAGAACAAAGCUAUAUAACAAUCUCAAGACAGAACUACAAACGUUCAGAUCAUAUGCUCUUGUUACUGCAAAGUUACAAUGGUCAAUGGUAACACAUUUUCUCAGGUGUCUUGCUUUUGGUUGUGUCAGCACAUGAAACAUAAAGACUUUGAUCUCGAUGCUUCACCACGGUCUUCUAGACCUCUCAUGAACCAUCUGACCGCGAGUUGCUCUGAAGCAUAAGUCAUGAAGGCAGCUAGAAUUAUGGCUACACCAACCAUAAGACCCAACCUGCUCAAUACGCAACAAACCAGCAACUAAGUUCAGAAUCAAGUCAAAAUCUAGACGAUAAUGUGUUACCAAUAGUGGCAAGAAGCAUUCUCAGCAAGUUGUUUAAGAAAACUACCUAAGAAAUAAAGCGGUGAUCCCUAAAAUAUAAGGCAAAGAAACUGCAGCAAUAGCCAGAAACACCAUCCCUAAUCCAUAAUACAAUGUAAUAACGUCACAAGACACACCUCCUCGCUGAUGACCUGUCGAGACCAAAAACAAAAAUGGAGAAAAAUCCCUGUUCUUAAUCCUCAACUUCGUAGAGAAUGGUAAAAUGACAUAUUCUUUUUUUUACUUCUCAUUUCCAUACCUUUUCGAGAAUCAUCCAAGGAGGAUGACUCCGUAUGAACUGACAGUUUCUUUCCAUGUUGAUGCACCAAAAGCAAGAAGCAACCAAACAAAAGAAAGAAGAUUGUAAAAGUCCAUUCAUACACCAAGAUCAAACCAGUCCAUGGCAUGAUUUGCCUCGGCACAAUCACAAAGGAAGUUCCAAUGGAUAUCAGAAGUGCAGUAAAACAGACUAGAACUGAAACUGCGCCUAAGCGCUGAGGAACUUUGGAGUGUAUGCUGCCACUGUGGAGCUGUUAGACAAAAACAAUACAAGAUGUUCAAAUGAGAUACAAACCACUUUUUAAAAGAAGUUUUAAAACAAUGAUUUGAUGAUGAAACACACUUGAUAGCUGGGAUUCAUAGUCGAAAAUGUAGAAACACGGCGUGUUCCAUUAGAUCUGAUUUUGUAAUAAAGAUAUCUAAUCUGAUUCAAUAGUGAACCCUCAUGAACCUGCAAGAAAAAUAAUGAAUUUACAAUCAAGAAAGGAUGAAAAAUGUAGCAGAGGUGAAAAAAACAAAGAAGUGCUAACCUGAAGGGAUCUAUAAACGCAGAACAAAACCCCACAAAGAGGUAACAAGAAAAGGAGCUUGACAACGAACUCAUCCUUCUGGUUUUUGCCGCCUCCAGUUCCAGGAAGAGUUUCCUCAAGCUUCACUCUAAUGCUCUGAAAAUGUUCACAGUGAUAUCAAACUUAAUGCACAAUAAGUAGAAACAGAGCUCAAAAACCAAAGAUAAGAAGAAGAAGAAGACCUACAUGCCAGGCGUCAACAGGCUUCACAAGCCAAGCUGUCCACCAGUCCCAAGGCUUGAGAGGGCCUAGUGUGUAGUGAAUAACAUGAAGCUUACUCUCAUCCACCAUCCACUGCAUAAAUAAUGAGAAAACUUCUUUAUCUUAAAAGAGCUAAAGAAAAACAUGAAACUACCUUAAACUAAUUAAAACCAAUCCUAAAUUCCAAAAUCACACAUCAAUUUCAUACUAAGCCACACAAUAACCAAAUACACACCAAAGGCUAAGUACACAGUUAUGUUUCCUAAACCGAGAAAAGGCAAAAAAAUUACCUUAUUAGCAAGCAUGUAAAGACCAACAUCAGCAUUGUACAACGUCGAAAGCCUCUCCAUAUCAGGAACAGGUCUGGUUUUCAGCUCUUCAGGGGACAAACUAGGAUCGAACACACGAGCAUUUUGGAAAUCAGGAUAGUAAGAAUUCAAGAACCCUUGGUCUCCACCAGUAUAAGAAGACAAAGUCUUGAUCUUCCGCAUCAUAUCAUUGAAAAGAGCUUGGGAUGGCUCAACAACCAUGACACCAGAGUUCAAUCUCUCGGAGUGCUUCAAGUUAGCGCAGAACUUGGAGCACUUGAACAGAUCGUCAAUGUUCUUUACCACAAUAGUAUCAGCAUCAAGAUACACAACUUGCAAUUAAAAAAAAAACAACUGUCAAAACAGAAUCCACAUAAAAAAAAAAGCAUCAAAAGGCUUCACCUUUGUUGUAAUCAGUCAUGUUAAAGAUCUUGAGUUUUGUGUAGACACCCCAGAACCUUGUGGGGUGAACUUGGUUUGGGUUUGCUAAUAAACUGAUCUUCUCUACUUUCCAUCCAUCAGCCUGUAGAGUUUAAAGUUCAGACCUUUUGAUCAAAUUGUAGAAAAAGACAAGAACUUUAAACCUUGAGUAGGUUCUUGGAGUAAUCUGAGACGCCGUCAGAGACCAGAGCGACCAUAUCUUUGUCGGAUCCAGUGUCUCGAAUCGAUUUUCCUAAUACCCUGACUCCUAAUAAGAACUCGUCUCCGUAUAAAAGUGUGACAUAAGCUUCCUUACUUGAUUCAGAUCCAAAGGAGCCAUUUAACAGAGCGAUUGAGAGCAGGAGAAGCCGGAGACUCGAUUUGAGUCUCACCAUGAUGAUUGUUCGGAUCUCACAAUCGAGGAAAAUUUAAGGAAAGUAAACGUUAAAAAUAGAGUUCUGAAACUUCAUUUUGGGUGUUGUCUCUGUGCCUCUGUGUCUGAGAAGUGAGAAUUCACUUUUUUUUCCUUUCACCGCCGAGAAAGCUUUUAUAAGCUUACGAGCCUACGACCAAUUAUGUAACUGUAACAGGCUAACAUCACAUGACGAUAUUAUUGCGAACAUGACAACUUUUUAUAAUAUUUUCUGAACUGGAUUAGUGGCAAAGAGACCAAACCAAAUGGGUUUACUGGAGAGGAAACAAAACACGAGAUGUUUCUUUACAUUAGUGAGUAAAAUAUAAAUGGCAUUACUUUCGCAGUUGAUCAUAAUUAGACAGACCCACCACCCCUCGUUGAACAAUCUUAAGGAGCGAAGAAGAUUGUAUUGUCUAGGAGUCAAUUAGAAUUAGUUUGACAUUCCAUAUUUUAGUUACAAGCUCUUUGUUUUUUACUUUUUGAGUACGAAGUCUACGUCCGUGACAAAAUCCAAGAGCCUUUUCACCUUGUUCGUUUUAGCUUUAUAUAUUUUGUUUGUUAAUCGUACUCAUAUGACGCUAACGAUGCAGGCUUGCGUACCUACACGAGGCGAUUGAGCCAAAAGUGGUGCAUAGAGACAUAAAGUCUAGCAACAUUCUGAUUGAUGACAAGUUUAAUUCUAAAAUUUCUGACUUUGGACUUGCUACGCUGCUUGGUGGUGAUAAAAGUUUUAUAACUACUAGAGUUAUGGGUACCUUUGGGUGAGUUGUGGCCUCUCUCUAUAUAUCUAUAUUUGAAAAUUUGAAGACUUAAAUGUUUUUUUUUGUUAACAGUUAUGUAGCUCCAGAGUAUGCGAACUCCGGUCUUUUGAAUGAGAAAAGUGAUGUUUACAGCUAUGGGGUUGUACUAUUGGAAGCUAUAACUGGUAGAUAUCCAGUAGACUACGCUCGGCCUCCCCCUGAGGUAAAGUAAAGAAACAUUUAAACACAUUUAAAACUCUGCGCCCUCAUAAGAGUUGUCUUCUCAUUUUGUAGGUACAUUUGGUGGAAUGGAUGAAGAUGAUGGUUCAACAAAGACGUUCAGAAGAAGUGAUUGACCCGAACCUCAACACAAAGCCAUCUACAAGUGCCUUAAAAAGAACACUCUUGACUGCUUUGAGAUGUGUUGAUCCAUUGUACGAGAAACGACCUAGGAUGAGCCAAGUAGCGCGUAUGCUGGAAUCAGAAGAAUACCCAAUUCCUAGAGAGGUAACAACUUUAAAAACUUUCUCUUAUUUUUUUAUUAUCCUGAAGGAUCCUUUCUGGAGUUUGGUUGCUGAAGGCUCUACCAAUUUGAGAAUUUGCAGGAUAGAAGAAGACGAAGGAGCGAUAAUGGGACAGCAAGAGAUUCAGAUCCUCCUAGGAACAGUAUAGAGACUCAAGAGUGUAAAUUAUUGUAAUAAUGUUGAAUAUUGUAAUAAUGUUUUCAGAGCUUUAUGUGAAGCAAGUCCUGUUUCUUCUCUAGAUCUUCUCUGUUAUGUGAUAUUUCUUCUUUUCCAGAGAGUGUGUCUGUGUGUUCAUUGUCUGGUUUUUAGAUCGCAUCGAUACAUCAAUUGCUUGUAUAGUUUGCCUCUGUACGUUUUGAAAUGUAGGUUGUUUUUGAACCAAUAAAACGGUAGGCUAUGUUAUUUAAGUCUUUGAUAAAAACGACGUGUAGUUUUCUGUUUGCUUUUGGAAAAUUUCAAUCGAACAUGCGGUGCGGGUAGUUUGGUUUUUGGGUAGUUCAGUUCAAUUAAGAUUCCACCGAAUUGAACUGUAAAAAAAUUCGAUUCAGUUCUCGGGUUGUUUGGCUUUUACGGGUUGUUUGGUUUUUAAAACUUUUACCGAAAUUAAUCGUACUAAUUGUAUUUCGGUUAAAAAUUUUAGAAAAAAUUGGUUAAUUUUGGUUAGUUCGAUUAAUUCGCUUCAAAAUUUUGGUAAAUUCUGUAUUUCGGAUAAUUUCAAUUAGUUCGGUUUGAAAUUUUAAUAAUUCGGUUAGUCCGGUUCGAAAUUUGGUUAACAAAUUCUUUAAAAAAAAAACGCCGAACUAACUGAUUACCGAACCAAACCGAAAACCGAAGUUUUUAUAAAUCAAUCGAAUCGAACCGAAUUAACCAAAAAUUUCGGUUCGGUUCGGUUAAAAAUAUGAUGUUUCAACUUUCAAUUAUCUUAUUUUCAUCAAAUUAUAUUUCUUUAUAUGUAUAUACAUCGUAAUAUACAGUAUAGUCCGAAUUAAAUUGUAUAAUUAAAAUGCUGCCGAAAAAUUAUAAAAAUAUACAGUUGACUCAGAUCUGAGAUAACAAGAAGACCUAUAUAAAUCGAAAAAUCAAAUUCGCCGACGGUUACUCGAUCCAGUUCCCAACACGUUCUUUCUCAUCGACCUUUUUUUUUUUUGAACAAAAACUCUACUCAUCGACCUCAAAAUGACGAAAACGCCCCUCACCGUCGUCGUCCUCCUCUUCCUCCUCAUCUCCGCCGCCGUUCCUCCUUCCACUGCCGAGAUCAAAUCCCUCGUCAUCUCCUCCGACGCCCGCCCCAUGAUCCUCUUCGAAAAAUUCGGAUUCACACACACCGGCCACGUCACCGUCUCAGUCUCCUCCGUCUCCGUCGUCUCCACCUCCCCAGAUCCGAACCCCGAUCCAUCUCGCCUCGGAUUCUUCCUCCUCUCCGAAGAGUCCCUCCUCCAGGUCCUCCUCGAGAUCCAGCAGAACGCUAGAUUCUGCGUCCUCGACUCGCACUACGUCACGCAUCUAUUCACCUUCCGAGAUCUAUCGCCUCCCCCGAACUCGCGGUUCAACCACUCGUACCCGGUGACUUCCCCCAACGAGUACUCUCUCUUCUUCGCGAAUUGCGCUCCCGAGACGAAAGUCUCCAUGGCGGUUAGAACCGAGAUGUUUAAUAAAGAUCCGAACGGAUCUAACGACUAUCUACCCGCCGGAUCCACACAGCUUCCGUCUCUCUACUCCUUCUUCUUCCUCUGCUACGCAACCUUUCUCGGAUACUGGGGCUACACUUGCUAUACCAACAAACGAGUGGUUCACCGGAUCCAUCUCCUCAUGGCGGGUCUGCUUCUAAUCAAAUCGUUGAAUCUGAUCUGUGCGGCUGAAGAUAAGCAUUACGUGAAGAUCACGGGGACGCCUCACGGAUGGGACAUCCUCUUCUACAUCUUCCAAUUCAUUCGUGUCGUGUUGCUUUUCACCGUGAUCAUCUUGAUCGGAACGGGAUGGUCGUUCUUGAAGCCGUUUUUGCAGGAGAAGGAGAAGAACGUGCUGAUGAUUGUGAUCCCUCUUCAGGUGCUAGCCAACAUUGCUUCGAUUGUGAUCGGCGAGACGGGGCCUUUCAUCAAAGAUUGGGUCACGUGGAACCAAGUGUUCUUGCUGGUUGAUAUUAUCUGUUGCUGUGCGAUUAUCUUCCCUAUCGUAUGGUCGAUUAGGGCCUUGAGGGAGACGUCGAAAACCGAUGGGAAAGCGGCCAGGAACUUGUCGAAGCUGACGUUGUUUAGACAGUUUUAUAUUGUUGUCAUUGGGUAUCUUUACUUCACGAGGAUUGUGGUGUUUGCGCUUAAGACGAUCGCGGCGUAUAAGUACCAGUGGGUGAGUUUUGCGGCGGAGGAGAUUGUGAGUUUGGUGUUCUAUGUGAUUAUGUUUUAUAUGUUUAGGCCUGAGGAGAAGAACGAGUACUUUGCUGUUGAUGAUGAUGAAGAAGAAGCUGCUGCUAUUGCGCUUAGAGACGAUGAGUUUGAACUUUGAGAUAAAAAGGGCAAAAGUCUGAGGCUCUGGAAGACUGGAAGACACAGAGUAUGUUUUAUGUUAAUGUCGGCUAAUAUUGCAACUACCUUUUGUUCCCUUGUGUUAAAUUUUUUCUUCUUUAUAUUGAAAACUCCAUUGUUACAAACGUUCAACAGUUUUUAUAGUUUUAAUCGUUGCGAAUUCAAGAAACAAUUAUAUGGUGUUUAUAGUUUGUAUUGAAUCCCAAAACGCUCAAUUACAAGCCCAUCCGAACUAGCUACUGGACUAAGGAAACCAUGACCAUGGGUUCUUGCACCAAAGGGUUUAACUAGGACUGCUCCUUCAACUGGGACAUGCAUAUGAGGUUUUAAGUGAUUGGAACAUACUAGAUACCGUCCAGAUUCGUUGAGCUGUUUCUUAGAAGAAGUGUAGAGGGCCCUUGUUAAGGCAUGCCUAGCUUCCAACUAUAUUGAGAAGAUCGUCCUGUUGUGUAACAUUAGAUUCAGUGAUAAAUAUCUGUGGCCCAAUGGAAAUUUGUACAUCAGAUAUUACUGCAACAUCUAACAAGAGGGCUUCUAUAUAAUGCUGAAAGGAUACCUUCCAGUUAUUAUGCUUUAGCAGAUAUGCAGAGACAUUGCAUUUGAUUCCAGCGUUUUUCUUCCAUUCAAACGACGCCGUUUCAACCACGGAAAUAAAUUUAAAAUAUAGAAAUUGGUUACAAAAAUAAUAAAUUAAUCUAUUUAUGUAUUUAUGUAUCGGGGAGUAGGCCUGGAACGGAUCGGGUAUCCGGGUAAUUUUAAGAUAUUCGGAUCCGGAUCUUUAUCCGGCGGAUCCAUAAUUUUACUAUCUUUAUCCGGAUCCGGGGUUCUCGGAUAUCCGGUUGUCGGAUAUUCUCCUAAAAAUUGUAAUAUCCGGUGGAUAUCCGGAUCCGAAUUUGGAUCUUUAAAAUAAAUAAAAAAUAAUAUUAAUAUAUAUAUAAAAUAUAUUAAAUAAAAUUAAUUUAUAUAUAUAUAUAUUACUAUUUUUGAAAUAUUUAUUAAUAAUACGGAUCCGGAUAUCCGGACUUAAAAAUUAAGAUAUCCGGAUCCGGAUUCGGUUUUGACGGAUCCAACAUUUUACUAUCCGGAUCCGGAUUCGGCCCCUCCGGAUAUCCAGAUUUUCGGCCCCUCCGGAUAUCCGGAUUUUCGGAUCGGAUCCGGAUCGAAUCUCGGAUCGAAUCUCGGAUCGAAUCCGGAUCUCGGAUAAAAGUCUCAGGCCCAUCGGGGAGUAUAGAUUGUCGAAGACCGGUUCGAUCGGUUUAAUAAUUCGGCGAGGAGGAUUUUGGUUUAUUUAAGACGGCCGUGAAAGUAACUGUGACGGAGGGUAUUUCGCCGUCGGGAAUAAUCAAUGGGAGGAGGAGGAGGCAUGGAGGAGCUGACGGAAGAUGAGAAGAGAGCUCUAAGAGGAAGCAAAUUCGCUCCUCUUACUUCUCUUCCCUCCUCUUCUCGCUCUCAGCUGCCCGGGUUCCUUUUUCAACUCCUUAGGGAUUUUCUUCUUCUUCUCGAUUUGAGAUUCCUGACUUUCCUAUGUGUUAUGUCUAUUCAGAUUGGCUCAUCCAGGUGGACCCUUGAAGACGAACAAGGCGGCGGCUUUAGCCAAGUUUCUAGAAAGGAAGCUGCAGGAUCCCAAUGGGUUCUCUUCCAUUGAUCCUGAUCUUAUCGAAUUAGCCGUCAAAAACGCCAGAGACACCGUUAUUUCCAGUGAGUAUUCAAAAAAAAAAAAAAGUUUCUUUUGAUAAUAUAUGUCUGAAAGUUGUGAUUUUGGAAUCGGAAACGAAAAGGGAUUAGUUUGUUAGAUAGGCUUAUAGCGUUGGAGUAUGGCAAUGGCAUGUUGUCCUGUGAUGAUAACGCUUCUUGUUAUUGUAGUUGAUUAUAGUCACGGCUGAUAGCUCAGCAUUAGCAGAGAUAUGCAAAAUCUGUUGAGGUGUUCUUGUUAGAUAUAGUGCAAGACUAUAGCAUACCGGUCUUGCAAUGAAAUUUAGCUUUGCCAGCUCAUUAACACGCCUUAUCGGUUAGUUGAGAGCUUAAGGUUUAAAGGGGAGCUAGAGGAACGAGUUAGCUCACUCUAAAUUAGGCUAGGAUGUUGGUUUAGGGUUUAGGAGAGUUUAUGGGUUCUCUAGACUUCAACCCAGGGUUCUAUCCUUUGGUAAUUUGCUUUAGUUUGUUCUCUGUUUAUCUUCUGUAAUUGAUUCAAAAGCGUGAAGAAAAGGACUGUUUCUCAUCAGAUAUCCUAGAUUUUCCAGUAUUUUUUUAUUGGCAUUAGGGUUGAGGGAUAGGGACAAAUUCUUCUGAGAUUGCAGCUCAUUUCUAGUUAAGAUAAUCUGUACGCAAGCCCAACUCUCACCUUCAAGGGUGGAGGAGAACUAUGAAAAGUGGAAUAAUUUUAGUAGAAACUAUGGAUAGCAUCAAACAUGAGACCUUAUAAUUAACUACAACGUUGCAAGUAAAGAUUGUGCAUUGAUGCAUUCCAUUGUUUUACUUGGUUUUAAAGUAGAUCUGAAAGAAUUUGGAAAGCAUACUUAGCAUUUCAUUAGACGAAAAUGCAUAAUGACUGUUUGCCUAAUUCCAUUGUAACUGUGGACUAAGUUUAGCUCACUUCAAAGUUCAAAGUUUAGAAUAAAGCUAUUCCUAGAUUGUCAGUGAAAACAACAUAGCACACCAACGUGGAGAGAUUUGCUUCUAUCCAAGCCCAAUAUGAAACAAAGAAAAUGCAUCAGUUAUGCUAUUAGGGAAUUUAUUAUAUAUAUAUGGCAGAAUGAGUUUUCUUAACGCUCUGGUAGUGGUAAGUAUUGAAUGUGAAGGCAUAGUCUUUAUGAUACUCUAAUGGUCUCAGGUGGGGCUUCGAGUUCAGGAAGAAGAAUCCAACACGUUGCCAAAUUUGAAGACGUCGAGGUAUCUGAUUCUCUCUACUAUCUUUCUUUCUGUUUGGAUAUGGAAUAAAUUUGUUAAUAUGUGCUACUGACCAGUUCUUACUCCCUUCUACGUCCUGUUUAGAUAUCUUCUGAUGACGAUAAGAUAGAGAACACUAAGCUUACCAAAAAGAAAAAGAAGAAAAACGCAAAGAAGAAAAAAGAAGAGAAAAAGAAGAAGAAAAACAAAAAGCAUAAGGUUUAUCUCCCUCACAUCUUUUUUCCUUAUUUCAUCUUUCUACUUGCUUUUUAUUUUCCCAACACGAUUUUAUAAAGUCUAUUUACGUUACUUGGUGGGAUUCCUUCACUGAUAUCUGCGUGUGGUAAUCUUUUUUGAAAGCAACAGAUCAUAGUCGAUGAAGAUGCCAAGUUGAAGAGACCCAAUAAGAAGUUGAAGCUUUAGUGUCCCUUUUUUGCUUAUACACUGGUGGUUGCAUAUUUGAUAAAGAUGGACAUGGACUAGGGUCAUGAGCUUUCUUAUUUUAUCUGUCUUUAUUUGGUUAAAUAUUAGACUGGAGUUGUUUGUGGCUUUGGAAUGAAUAGCUUCAUGAAUCUGGAACAUGUUUUUUUAUUGUUGAAAAUUUGAUUGUGUUUUAGCCUUUUUGAUCGUACUUAAAAGACCAGUUCCAAUGAAUAAUGAUCUGCAUAAAGCUCAUUGCAGGCUAGUUUACAAAACAUAGAUCAUGGGUUUAAUUGUGUUUUGUAGUUUUGUACUACUUCCAAAGGACACAAGAGGAGACACAAUAAUAAUAAAAUGACCUCGCCGACAUUUGGUAGAUGAGGAGGAUACGGAUGUUAUGGUCCAAAAGAUCUUUUGGAGAAUAACAACAAUCUCCAAAAGCUGCUGGCAUGUGGCCAAUACCUCAAGUCAAAACCUUCGAGUUCCAUUUUCUUAUUUAUUCCAUAGAAAGAGCUGUUUUUAUACUUCUCACCUCCUUCAUAAAACCAUGCUUAUAAUUUUAUCUCAAAAUAAAUAACUUCUUAUACACCUAUUAAAAAAUGGGCAAAUCUCCAAAAUAACACAUUUCUAAGUUUAUAUCACAAAAAUAGCACUCAAAAACUAAAAUGACCAAAAUAGCACAUUUCUAAGUUUAUCCUUUGAAAAUUUUAAUUUUUUUAUUUUUCAAAAUUUGAAAUCUUAUCCCCAAAACCUCAUUUCUCAACUCUAAACCCUAAACCUUAAACUCUAAACCCUAAACCCUAAACUCUAAACCCUAAACCCUAAACCUUAAACUCUAAACCCUAAACCUUAAACUCUAAACCUUAAACCAUAAACCCUAAACCCUAAACCCUAAACCCUAAAUUCUAAACCCUAAACUCUAAACCCUAAACCCUAAAUCCUAAACCCCACCCUUUAACUCUAAACCCUAAGUUUGUGACUUUUGAUAAAACAUUAAGUGCUAUUUUUGUGACUUUUGACCUUGAGUGCUAGUUUGAGAACAAAAACUUGAUUUAGUGCUAUUUUUGUCUUUUUCUCUUAAAAAAUUACUAACCUUUUUUGUUUUAUCUCGUUUUGCAUAAAACACCAAUAACUAUAUCUAAUCUAACUAUACUAAAAAAUAUUAAGCCUUCUGAGAUGGUCCACGUCAGACUGAAAAUUCAUCCAAUAAGAAAGCAACGUUCGGCCAUGUCAGCAACGAGUUGGUUCAAGUUGGGCUUCGGGUGUAUUUUGCGACCCUCUUAGUUUGGACUUCUGUUUAUUUCGGCCCACAUGUGUUGUGUUCGUGUUACGGACAAAGACGGCGUAACCUAAGUUUCUUCUUCCCCUACCUUUCGACUUCCACCUCUUCCUUUCCCCUUCUCUGCAAAUCCGUUUAGCCGAUUAACUUCAUCACUAAUUGCUCUAAUCAAGACUUUGUUUUAACUCAUUCAAUGGCUUCUUUUCACCUUCCUUUCAAUUUUUUCUAUUUAUGGAUUUCUUUUCUUAUCUUAUGUCUCCAUCGAAAUCAUUCUCUCAGGAAAAAAAAACUCAGACAUUCAUCCCGAUGGAACCCACUGGCGACACCCCCGACUCCAAUGACCGCAAGACCGGCAAGAAGAUCGUCGCCUCCUCUGCUACUGUGAAACCAAAUGGGAAGUCCAUUGCUUCCUCCGCGAUUGUGAAGACUGCUGUUUCAUCUACCAUUCCGGUGAAACCAAACGUUGCUACCGCUCUCUCCUCCGCGCAUGCAGACCAAGUCAUGUUCUUCAGAGAUGUUUCAUUCGGCCCACGCGAAGUGGAUUUGAGGUUUCGUCUGAUUCACUUCUGGGAGGCUCGAAAUCCACUCACGAAAGCCCUCAUUGGACAAGAUAUGCUCCUUAUCGAUGAAGAGGUCUGUCUCAAAUUUUUUUAAAUUUUUUCUAUAGGUUUAGUAUUGCUUGAUUGAGAUGGUAUCUAUAUUAAUCGAUGCUUUGAUACUAUCUACAGGGGACUGCUAUUCAAGGUUUUGUUCCAGCUGGACGGGUCGGGACCUUUGAUCUGACAGAUGGAGUCGUGUAUAAGCUGAGCAACUUCUUUGGGUCCAGAAGCAAAGUUCAAUAUCGUGUUGCUGAUCAUAUUGCCACCGUCUCAUUCACCUGGAAUUAUGUUUUAUCAGUUCUUGAGAACCCUCCGGUCCCAAUUCCAGAGGAUAGGUUCAGGUUCCGCGGCUAUGAGGAGUUUAAGGCCAACUGUGACUCUAAGGGUGACCUUUAUGGUAAGUCUGUUGGAUUACUGAUGAUUUUUGCUUAAAUCUUUAGAUAUAUUUCAUCACCUCAAAUGAGUAUUAGUCCGUUGAGUUUUGUUAGUUAAUUAGAGUAAUUGAAAUAUUUGAACAACUGAUGAGCAAUUUAUAGUUACGUUUGAUUUAGAAGUUUGAUGUAUGCGGAUUUUUUUUUAUUUGAUUACAGAUUAUGUUGGCCAUAUGAGGCUGGUGAAUGGGCAGACUAUCUCUGACCAUAUUGUUCUCGACGAGGUUGACAUCUCAAAGAAGCGGUAUCUAUGUGUUCAUGUUCAGACACAUGAGUAAGUUUGUCCAUUUGUUAGAUGUUUUCAUUGUGAGUUGUCCUUAAUACAUGAUUGUUUCAUUUUAUGUAGUGGACCAGUGAUGAAGCUCUACAUAUGGGACAAGGCUGCAUCCAACUUCUGCGAAAAAUUCAAAUCUUAUGGAGGCACCCCAAGCGUUCUGUUAGUCACCACUGUGAACCCCAAACACAUUGGAGGUUAGAAUAUCACUUAUAAAACAUCAUGCUCAUAUCCAGAACUUAGCUGUCGUAUCACAAAUUUAAUUGUAUUAGAAUUUUUUAUUUUUAUUAGAUGAGACAGAGAUUAUGUUACGGAUAGUCAUCUUCAUUCAUACUUUUUAACAGGAACACUUGCUCUCACUACAAUGUCAUCAUCUCGAGUGUUCAUGGAUGCUGAUGUCCAGCCUAGCAAAGAUUAUCUUGAAUGGUAUUCAUUUGAGAACUCAGUUAUUUUCAUGCAACUUUUGCUUUGUCAGUUUACGCGAUUUCAAUUCUAAUAUAAUUUUGGCUUCCGUUUUUCCCCAGGUUGAGCUCUAACUCGAACAUUGCUAAUAGGGUUGCUGCUGAGGUCGUCACUAAGCCUGAGACAAUGACUCUAGGGGAGAUAUUCUCUUACAUCAAACGGGAAGAUUCUAAGGUAUUUGAGAGUUGUUCUGUUUUUUUUUUUUACAUUCAUUUCCAUGCUCCUGAUUAUUGAUGAAGAUUGAUUUUUUAUACCAUGAAGGUUGCUUGGUUUGAAUGCACAUCAACUAUCGAUGAUGUUGUCCAGGGUUCUGCCUGGUAUUACAUUUCUUGCGGUGGAUGUAAUAGUAAGGCAGUAAAAGGGCCUACCUCUCUGAUUUGUAACAGCAAGAAGUGUGGGAAAAGGGAAGUUACAGGCGUUGCUCAGUAAGUGUUGUAUACAUAUUUUCUUUUUCUUUUUGUCAGUACUAAUAGUUAAUCUUCUUUCAUUGCAGGUACCUCACAAAGAUAUCUGUUUAUGAUGAGAGUGAGCAAGCAGUUUUUGUUGUACUUGGUGAUGCUGGCAAAGAGCUGACCAGGAAGCAUGCGUCAGAAUUAGUUGCCAGUUACUUUGAGGUAAUUUUAUACCUGACUAUUCAUAUCGUGAUAUUAUUUGAACUAAUACCUAUUUGAUUUUGAUUUUUUUUUUAACGUUAGUCCAAUGAUGGUGUGGAUGCUGACCAUUGCGUGCCGGUGCCGCAAGCUCUACUUGAUGCAAUAGGGCAGAAGCACAGAUUCAUUGUGAAGGUUUCCGACCAUAACUUGACAGGCAAGACUCAAACCCUGACUGUCACCAAGAUACUCCCGCCAGAAUCUCCACAGUCCAUAGAACACUUGGAAGAAAAGGCUAAUCCUUCAAGAGGCUUCGAAGAUGCUGCGGGUGAUAUGGUUAGAAAAGCAUCUGAGCGUCUUGAGUCAGGAGAAGCCAAGCGCCCCAAAAGUGGCUAAAUCAGCUUCAGAAUACUCUCUUACGCAGUGAUUGUUAUUGCUGCGUUUUAAUUUAUGUUCUUACGUUUACCUAAAGACUAUGUUUUCUUUUGUUUCAAUUAUCAGACUUUGGUUCAUUAGAGACUACGCCACUCACUUCAUGCAUGCUGAGUGGUCGUAUUCUUUAUUUCCUGUUUGAGUGAAGACUUUGUUUUUCCUUUAUUUAAAACUUUGCUUUUGUUAGAUAUUUGCAUUCAGCUUGAUAAUGACUUGAGUUGUUGGCAUCAUUGGAAUUCUUAAUAAUUACGAACUUUGUAAGAAACUUAUAGGUUAUUUUGUAUUAUAACUGAUGUAAACUGAAAUAUAUGAACCAUCAUAAUAUGCUAUGAAUUAUGAUUGGUCUGUAAGAUAUUAGAGACAAAAUGCAUGUAUACUUAUUUUGAGAUUGUACAUAUUAGUUUGUAUAAUUUUUUUUUUAUGAUCAAGAUUAGUUUGUAUAAUUAUAUUGUAUUUAAUUUAAUCAUAACUUUUUACCUCCGCUUUUGGCUUCAAAUCGACCAACAAAAAAAAAAUCUUAGUACCAUCUCCAUCUUAAUUUCAUCUCCAAAUAUAAGAAGGAAACAUAAUAUUUAUAAAUCGUAAUGUAUUCAAAGUAACAAAAGAAAGAAACAUAAUAUUUGUCAUUGGUGAUUGAAGGCGUAAAUUUAGCACCGAAAAAUAUACACAAUAAAUUCAAGUUCAAAUAAAAUAUUUUAUAUAGUAAUUCAAUUUAAUAAUACUCUUUACAUACACAUUAUAAUAUACAAAUAUCUGUUUUCCUUAUUCUAAAACAUAUUAUGGACAUGGGCUGACCCAUUUUCAAAUCACAGCAAUGUAAACCAUAAUAAUUCAACUGCAAUAAUUCAACUUCUAUCUUUCUCUCCGAGGCUUUACGCUCCAGGGUUCUUUAGAUCCUAAGGACCCUUCUUUAGAUGAUGCAUUUAGGGUUAUCGAUAGCAUAGGAUGGUCUUACACUGUGAUGCAUAUGCAUAUUUUUUGGUUUCCUAUGGUUUAUUAACCGGACAAGCUGAUUUUUUAAAAGAAGUAUACAGCUAUCAAUUUUUAUUUCAUAAGUUGUAAACAUAUUUUAUAAUAUCGAAGAACAUUUGGUAUAACAUAAAAACUGCUUAGAAUACAAAAAAAAUAAAAUAUGCAAAUUAAUACAAAUUCCAGCAGAAUAAUCUAGUACCACUUACCAAAAUAAUAUAAUAACAGUUGAAUCAAUAACUUCAGCCAUAACCAUCCUUUUUAAAAGAGAUGCAUUAUUCUUUACAUAUAAAAAGAGUUACAAUACAAUCUCACCAGAAAAAAACCAACUCAAUACUAAAAAACGCAAGUUUUAUUAUACAGAAAAAUCCGGGCGUAGCCCGGAAUAAUCCUCUAGUUUAACUAAUUAGAAAUUAUACUGUGGUCUCAAACAUAACAUUGAAUUUUUGCGUAAAAAUUAAAAAAAAUCACUUAAUAUAAAAUAAAAACAAAAAUUUCUAAAACAUUACUUAAAUUCAAACGGAAAGAGUAAGUUAUCAUAAAUGCCUCAUUUGGCGACAAAACAAACAACAAAAGUGUCUUCAUCUUGAUCUUCGUUUUACAUCAAGAUCCGAACAUAAAACACACAAUCCUCUCACAUGUCCUUGUUACGCGGCCUCAAUUAUUUUCAAGGCAGCCAAAACAAAAAGAACAACAAUAAUAAUACGUGAUGAAUGAUGAUAUUCAAAUGCCCCAUAUUCAUGCAUGCAUUCAACUUGUUCAAUUUGUCGCUUAAUCUUGUAUAAUAAAGUCGGAUACAUAUAGUUUUGUUAAAACUACCCAUGUCUCUUUGAGAAAGAGAUCCAAUGUUUUCGCAUCUCUUUGUCUCAGCACAAAAUCUUAUGCUAUGAUGACCUUUUGUCCUUUGUAAUCAAUCAUCCAAUUCCAAAGCAUUAAAGUUUACGGUUUCCAUAGAAAUAUCAGAAGUGGAAAUACUAUAUGUGUGAAGUGACUUUUUAAACGAUUGGUGUUGAGUGCGAUUCACACUCUUUGCGUGAGCGUGCAAGAAUAUACUUUCCGUAAUACUAUACGUUAAGACCAUCAAACUCUAUACGUUUCUUUUGCUAAAUGGUAAUGAUUUUUUAGUCGGUUGUCUAGUCUUUUAUUUUCUUAUAUUAUUUUUCAUAGUUUUUGCAUGCAGGUAGAGAUUGUUAUUUAGUAGUAUAAAUAUUUAUUCAUGUCAUUUGCAAAAAAAAAAUAGCUAUUCAUGUCUUUUUACCAAAGCAAGUGUAAUCUACUGAUGGAACGGUGAGGUGCCUAGUUCAAGCCCUUGGGAAAGGAAGAUUCACGUCCAGUAAAGAUAUUAACAAGAGCUGGUUUUUACUAUAUAGAUUUGGAAUUUCUUAAUUAACAAAAUAAUAAUUCUUGUUAAAAACGUUCACCGCAAGAUUAAUAUUAUCAUUAGAUAUCUAAUUGAAGUUUUUGUUUAUAAGCAGACUCGACAAAAGCUAGUCAAAAAUCUUAGGCGUAGAUAAUAUUUUAUAUAUCGGACCUAUGAAUAUAGGGUCGUUACGUCGGAGUCGUAGCACAAAAUUAAUAUGUUCGACCAGUGUCGUACCGACUAAAGACCAAUCAGUUUUCUCCAUAUAUAAGAUUAAGAAAUAAUUAGCAGAUUGGCUGAUGAAUAAAUAACACCUGCGUUAAUGUUUUCCUUUUCUCACGCAUGAGUUGAUAUUGACAAAGAAAUUGUCUUGUUGCUAUAGCUCUGAAUGGUAAUAUCCGAGAUAACUGCGGAAUAACCGUGGUGCGAAUUUAAUCAUAACAAAACAUACCGUGAUAAAUAUAAGUGCAGUCUGUCACCAUUCAAACUGCAACUUGAGCCAACAAAUAUUUUUUUCCUUUGACCAUUUUUCUUUAACUAUUAGAGCAUGUGCAUCAAUGGUUUCUUGAUGCAUUUCUUAACUAAAAAUAAUACUUAAAUAUAUAACAGCAGAAGAGAGGAAGAGAAAACACGAGAAUCGUAUGGUCUUUGAAAAACGUUUACAAUUUUAUUAGAGACUAAACUUACAUGUGUCAUCUUGUGAUUAAUUGUUGUUUUUCAUAUUUAAAUUUAAAUUACAAAAUAAAUUUAUAUUAAUAUUAAAUGGUUGAGGUAUUCUCUAAAGAAACUAUACCACUAAUUCAGUGAUGCUCAAACAAUCUAUAAACAGUCAUUUCACGUUUUUAACUUUUUAUAUAAUAAUAUAUUGAAUCUGGAGGGAAAUCUAUAUUUCAUAAUAUAUUUACUAUCAACAUAUCUUUUUGGCAACAAACUCCAUAUUUCAUUAUCAAUAUAUCUAUGUGUGGUGUUCAUUGCUCAAUAACUAAUUGAUAAGUUUAUUAACACCUCUUUUUAUGGAUCAAAGUCAAAAAUCGAGUCCCACCAUUAAAAAUAUUAUGAUAUGUUUCAUUUUCAAUCACUAUAACUAUCUUAAAUAUAAGAAAAUCGAUUUUCUGCAUACAACAAAAAAUAAUAAGGAUUUUGAUCCACAAUCCACCUCCACUAUAUGAAAAAAGUUCUUCUUAGCAUAUCCCUAGCAUCAUCGAUCAACUUUUACCUUAGUAACUUAAAUCAUCAUUUGAACUAUAUAUACUAUCUCAAUAAUUUAACUUAGCAACAAUAUAUGACCAAAUAAAGUUUAAUAAAAUUACUUGGUUCAAAAUUGGGUAUGAUUUAAGAAAUUCUACAUUUUAAAACUAAUGUAACUUUUCUUUUUAGUGUGUAUGUAAAUUCAUAUGAAUAAAACUGUAUAUUUGUAGAAAUGAUAUAUUGAUAUAGUUAUUAUUAAUAAAUUUAACAUAUUUAAUACUUUCCCCCAAAAAAAAGAUCAAGUUAACAUUUAAGAAGUGGUCAAUUGUUACAUUAUCUUUCUUUUGUUUUUUCCGGGUUUAGUUUCACAGUAAAGUGUAUAAUCAAGUAUGGAAAAGAAAGAAAAUUAACGUAGAUGAAUAAAAAAGAAUAAAAGAAAUGAAUAAAAAAAAGACAAGCCAUUUAUUCUAUGUUUGGCGCGUAUAUUAACCACCACCGGCAGACAUCAACCCAUAAAGAAAGAUCAAACCUUUCCUUCCUUCCUUCCAAAACAUCUCUCAGCCGAAAACCAAAAUUGAAUUUUAACCCUAAAAACAAAAAAAACAAAAGUCUUCAGCUUUAAGCAAAGGAGAUCAAGCGGACUUAGAGUGGUGUAGAGACAGAAACCAACCACGAUCUGUGGUUUCUUCCCAAACGACACUCCCAUUUGAUCGGACCUCGACAUUGCUGUGUUCUGUUUUCCGCAGCUCCGGCCUUGAGAAUAGCGUUUUGUAAGAAGGUAAAACGUUAAUAAUGUGUUUCCUUCAUUUUCUCUCUCUUUCUCUUUCUCAUUCUGUUAAUCUGCGAUUAGCGUUUUGUAAGAAUCGUUUUUUUUUUUUGAAAAUGCGGCGUUUGUAGCUUCGAUGUGGCGGUUAGGGUUACGAGGCGGUGGAGGUGAAUCGUACCCGGAGAGACCCGAUGAGCCUGAUUGUGUCUAUUACUUAAGAACCGGUGUUUGUGGGUACGGGUCGAGAUGUCGGUUCAAUCACCCACGUAACCGUGCACCGGUAAUAAAACUCUCUCACUCGCUCUGUUUUCGUACUGUCUUGGUGUGGGGUUUUGAUAAAGUUACUACCUUUUUUUUUGUCUGCUUCCUAUGUGUUAGUUAAGUCUUUGUAUAUUUAAUUGGGAUGCAUUGUUAAAAUCUACGAUCUGAUAUCACUGAAACAGAAUCUGUGAUUUAAAUUUGCUUGGAAGCUCUUGAUUUGAUGUUCUUAUUCUUAUAGGUAUUGGGAGGUCUCAGAACAGAAGCUGGAGAGUUUCCAGAGAGAAUGGGACAGCCCUUGUGCCAGGUAUCUAUUUCGAUCAUUGUUGGUUACGGGUUAAGCAAUGCACUUAAUGCUUCUCUAGUGUAGACAAUUCUCACUCUUUAUGCUUUUCUCUGCACAGCAUUUUAUGAGAACGGGAACAUGUAGAUUCGGUGCUUCUUGCAAGUAUCACCAUCCUAGACAAGGAGGAGGAGGUUCUGUUACUACUCUUACUUCAUUAAGUUACAUGGGAUUGCCAUUACGCCCGGUUUGUUCAAACCUCUCUUUCUCUUGUCUUUCGUGUCCUUGUGCUGUAUUGUUAUGUAUCUGAUCACUAAAAGAUUUGCACAGGGUGAGAAAGAAUGUUCAUAUUACAUGAGAACCGGUCAGUGUAAAUUCGGUUCCACCUGUCGGUUUCAUCAUCCUGUUCCUCCUGGUGUACAAGCUCCGUCUCUACAUCAGUUAUCAACUAGUCCAGGUCCAGCUAUUUAUCCACCUCUUCAGUCUCAAUCAGUUCCUUCACCGCAGCAAUUUGGAAUAGUUACACCGAGACCUCACCUCUUACAGGGCUCAUAUGUUCAAAGCCCUUACGGCACUUACAACCAAAUGGUUCUUCCUCCUCCUGGAAUGAUUCCAUACUCUGGCUGGAACCCUUACCAGGUAAUGUUCUAAACACUCCUCUUAUGUUUUGUUUCUUUUCUUAGUGUUAACAAAGCCUUGUUCCAUUUUAUUUUAGGCUUCUAUAAGUGCAAUGCCUUCUCCUGGGACUCAACCGUCUAUGGUAUCAAGCUCUGUCUAUGGAAUUAGACCGUUAUCUCCUCCAGUGCCUGCGUAUCCAUCUGGUCCAUCUUCAAAUAAGGAACAAUCUUUUCCUCAGAGACCUGGACAACCAGAGUGUCAAUACUUUAUGAGAACGGGAGAUUGUAAGUUUGGAAACUCAUGCAGAUUCCACCAUCCUCUGGAAGCAGCAUCUCCCAAGGGAGUUUCCCUCAGCCCCAUUGGCCUUCCCAUUCGUCCUGUAAGUCUCAUCCCCCUAGCAUCUUCCAUAUAUUAGCUUUGCUCCAUGAGAUACGGUCUCUUUGGUAAUGAAUUUAUGAUAAGUUCUUUGUAGAAACUCUGUUUUCUUGAUUUGAACAUGAAGUUCUGUUUUCAUUUCAUUUGAUUUCUCAUGAUUUCAGACAUAGUUUCUUGAAAUUUCAUUGUUUAUGUUCAAUAGUGUAAAUUUAUAACAAAGACAAAAAGCUAAUAGUACUGACAUUUUCAGGGCACAGCGCCUUGCAGCCACUUUGCACAACAUGGGGUUUGCAAGUUUGGGCCUGCAUGCAAAUUUGACCACUCCAUGAGCUCUUCUUCACUAAGCUACAGCCCGUCCGCUUCUUCGGUCAAUGACAUGCACGUGGUGCCUUACCCUCUCAGAUCCUCAUCGCUCGGCAUAUCAGCUCCAUCAUCAUCAUCGUCCUUGUCUGAACAACGCACAGAGCUUCACUCUUCGAGCUCCAUUAAACCCACAAACACAACAAGUGGUGGCUCAGAAACUUUGGCUGCUGAGACCAAAAAUGGUGACUCGGCUAGCAUUGAGGUUAAGACUUCAAGUUAAAGAGACAAAACUCAAAGGAGAGAAGAGAAUCUCUCUCUAUUCUUCUUCCACUAGCUAGCUUCUCUCUUUACUCUCUAUCUCUUCUUAUUUACAUUCACACUUUCAUGAAGUCAAGAACAUAAGAAACAUUUUUUUUUGGCUGGAGACAACAACAAGAAGCAAAAGUAGAGAGAGACCAAAGCAGCUCUAGUUUUAUGUGUUUCGUCUCUCCUCUUAGUUGUGGUCUCUCUUAACCAUGUUCAUACGAUUCCUUCAUACAGCCAUCUUUCUAUCUUGUAAAACAAAAACUUUUCAAAAUGAUUAUUUAUAAAUGGACUUAUUGUUCAUGAGAUCAUCUGAUUACUUAAAAUCCCAUGCGCAAAAAAAAUUAUUGAGAACGCCAAUAAGGGGAAUAAGAGCCUGAUUGUGGUUUUAAUUACACUUUACAAGGUCUUGUGUAAUUCAAAAGAGUACAUAUUUCAAUGAUUUUAUCCUACAUUUUUUAAGAACUUAUAAACUUACAUGACAACAGAAAGAGAAUGUGAAAUUCUUUCUAACUUUGCGUUUACAAUUUGUAAAAAAAGAUUUAACAAAUACAAUAGUAAGGCCUUUUUCCUUUCUAGUAAACAAAAUAUUCAAAUAUUUUUAAAUGGUAAAACCCAAACGCAAUAGUCGUUCAAACAAUCCAACUAAAUGUUUUUAGAACAGCAACAAGAAGAGAAAGAGCAUGAAAAGGUAGAACAGAACCGAUCUAUUUGUUCUACAUUCGAUUCGUACCACUUUGAUCAUGAAUAUAUGAACAGAAGGGAGUACACAAUAAGUAAAAUUACUGUUGAUGUGGAAGUAGAAGUCAGUAAUUCUCGUACUUGGUUCUUUGUGUUGGUGAUAUAACAUGUGCAUGUGUGGUUUGUUUGUUGCGUCUAGUUUUACUCAAACAAUCAGAACAAUCAUAAUCAUGAGUUUUAUCACUGAGACAUCACAACAAAACCUUUCAACAACCCACAAAAAUGAUAAUCAUUAAAUGUUUUUUUCUCUGAGUUGUCACUUAGAUGAUCUACCAUAAUUUAGAAUAAUGAACCAUUUUUGUUUAGAUUGAUGUAUGAAGAACUUAACUACAAAUCAAAGUAUUAUGCACUCUAGUAAGUUAUUUUCUUUGAAGUGAUACAAACUGUAAAAUAUCAAUUAUGAUGAAUUCUAUGGACUAUUUAUAUAUUUGUUUGAUAUGUAUAGCAGCUUUGGUUGGGUCUGAUGAUUUAACAAAAUAAAGUGAAGUUGAUAAACUUUAGAAAGGGGGAUUAACUGAGUUCAAUGAAAGAAAGUCAAAAACCUGAAACAGAUUUUAAAAAGGAAAAAGAGUUGUGAUGUUGAGUUGUUGUACACAAAAGUAUAGGCAAAAGGAGGGAGACAUGAAACAGUGAUUGUGCAAUUAAAGACCAAACAAGUCAUGACCAAAACACAUGUCCAAAGACCAAAAACACCAUCAUGGUACUUCACUAAGUCCAUCACAUUAACUAUUUUUUUUUGGUUAAAGUUAACUAUAUUUUUUCAAAAACCAUAUAUAUAUAUAUAUAUCUUAUAUAUAAUUUUCAGUCUAAUUCCAAACCUUCUUUUGUUUUAAAAGUUUAUAAUAACCGAGCGUAUACGCACUGAGUUUAUGCAACUAAUCUUACAAUCCUGGUAUAAAUAUUAGAUAUUAUUCACUUACAAUUAAAUAUCUACUAUGAAUAAGUCAUUUGUUUCUAUACACACCACACUUAUUAUAUACAUAAUUAAAUAGUACAUGUUGGAAAUAGCAUGGACAAAAAGUGGUCUUUGAUACAACUCGCAUUAACACCUUUUGCUAAUUAAUCAAAAGUUCAAAACCAUGAUACUGAAGUAAUUACAAAAAAAAAUAAAGAAGAAAGAAAAUUUAAAACUUCAUGGUAAGGGAACCUUAUGGUGCAUGAUACAAUAAGCAGAAUAUAUAUAUAAUAAAGUCGAAAGUCGAUAAACAUGUUGUUAACAAAAACAACCAAACGACCAUGGAAUAACGUAAAGUACUAACUAUAUUAUUACAUAAAUAUAAAAACAGAAAUAUUAAAAAGAAUGUUCUAAUAGAGUGAGUAGAAGCCUGUAGUGUCUGCAACAACAUCUCCAAAAGCAGCGAUAGAGGAAGAAGAAAAGUUUUGUGGCUCCAUUAUUGCGUAAUCUUCCAUUGACAUGGAAGUACCAGCACCAUAGUUAGUGAUCAUGGCAGAGAGAUCACACGAACCAAACUCCAUCAUCAUAUCAACAUCCUGGAAGUAACUAUUACUAAACCCUUCGUAUGACUCUGAAGCCUUGCUUGCUGGAGUUGUGAAACCAGCUCCGCUUUCGUUUUGGAUGGUGGUGGUUACAGGAGGUGGUUUAAGGCAAUGGUUUGGGACAAUGCAGUCCAAGUAACCCGAGUUGUUACUGGAGUUACUUCCUUCUAACGAGAAGAAGUUAUUUUCUUCAUCUAGUGAAGAAGAUAACGAGCCGUUCGAAGAGGAGUUUUGAGGACUAGAACCAAACGCUUGAAUAUCAGCGUUUUGAUGACGAACGGGCGUUUUAAAAGAAGCAGCGGGUAAGACGGUUUGGGGGAGAGAAAGUUUAGGUUGCUGAUAGUUUUGAUAAUGAGGAUGGUGAUCAAUGACAAACUGUGGAGAAGAGUUUUGUAAUAAAGAUUGGUUAUUGUAAGGAGAGACUAUGAGAGAGUGGAGAUUAGGGUUUGUGAGGAUGGUGUGAACGUCAUUUGGAGUGUAGACGAAGUUAGUACGAGCUUGAGUGCCUCUCAUUGAAAGAGCUGCUCUAUCGUAGGCAAGAGCGGCCUCAUGAGCAGUGUCGAAAGUGCCGAGCCAGUGACGUUCUUUGGUUGUUGGAUCUCUAAUCUCAGCUGCGUAACGACCCCAUGGACGUCUCCUGACUCCUAGGAACCUCCCUGGCUCUGCUUGCUUUGAUCUCCGGCCUCGUCUCUCGCCGGUUGUAGCGGUGGUUGCGUUGGUUGUGUUUUGGUUGAUUAGAGCAAAACCCAUUUGAGUUUGGGAUGUUUCAAAGUGUUUGUUAUUAUCUAGGGUUUUGGAGGUUGACAUGAUGAUGAAGGUAUAGGUUUUUCGAAAGGAGGUUUUAUUUUAGGGUUUUUUUGGUUCUUUUGCUUCUGUCUAAAGAUGAUGAUGUUGUUUGGAAAUCGAAGUGAAGUGGUGUUAUAAAUAGAGAGACAGUGAGCCUGAUAGAGAGACUUCACUUUUGAUUCAACUGCUUUUAGUGUAUCUUUUAUUUCUUCUAUUUGGCUUUUUAUUUCUUUUUCCGAAGAUAUUAUAUGUAGGCUUCAGUGACAAAGAUAGAUUAAAGGUUGGCACAUUGGUUGGAUUUUAUAAGAUUUUUGUAUAUGGCUUUAAAAGAAAUCAAAACCGAUUUUAAGAAAGCUUAAUUGACUGUUUUUAAUCUGUUUUCUGGCUAUUACUUUUUCAUCUUGUUAAAUCAGCUUAUAACCAUUCCAAUUCACUGGUUUGUCUUAGAGCAUUUUCAACUCAUUGAUAUUUUUGUUUUAAUAUAAUAUUUAGAGUUAGUCACUCAAUCUCAUUUAUAUUUUCUUCUUCUAUAUUUAGGAAAAUAAAUAAUAAUAUCUAUUUUUACUCCAUAUUUUGAAGAAUGUUAUUUUAGAACAAUAUAUUUGAAUAAAGUUUUAUUAUGUAAUUUUCUAUUUUAGAAGAAAAAUAGCAAACAUUCGAUUUUAUUUUAUUUUACGAUGUGUAUACAUUAUAUUCUAUAUGUGUUUGUAUGUAUGGAUGGCUAUUUAUAAAAGCCUAAUUAGGAGGAAGCCACUGAUCAUUGGAUCUACUGCAAAAUCUGGAAUGUCACACUGACCAAUCUUGAUUUAGAAAUUAAGAACAAAUUCUAUUAUAGACUGGAUAGUAAAAUAUUUGGUAAAAGUAUAUUUUAAUUGUGAUGCAUAUAUUGCAUCAUGCUAUUCAAAUAUUUUAUUUCAAUGGGAUCAUGCUAAUUAUUUAACUCAAUUAAUCUGCUUAGUGGUCACGUGCAAUAUGCAUAAUAACCCUACAUAUCAUAGGUUAAAGGUCAAGGGUCUACAUAAAAAAAAUCGAUAUUUCACUUAGAUUUAAACCUCAUGCCCAAUUAAUAAAAACUAUAUAUAUUUGAAGUGAUAUGCAUUGCUAUUACAAUUAGGAUGUCUGAUAAAUUUGAAUGUUCUGAGGUCGAUUAUGAAUUUGAUUUCUAACAAAUUUUAUCAACAAUUGUACUUCAAAAUCAGUAAGCUUAAGUUUGAAUAUGUUUUAAUAUGAAAUAUAACAACCGAUAGGCAAGCGACAGAAAUUUGAGUUUUUUUAAUCAUAUAUAAAUUUGGUUUAGGUUAGUUUGUUUGAAUAUAAGUAUUAAUCUAACUUAAUUGCAGAAGCCCCUGGUCAAAUCACAUGGUUACCCGCAUUUUAAGCGGAAAUAGAAGUGAGAACAAUUUUUUUGUCAUCUUGUAAUGAUUUUUUCAAUGGGAGUGGUUAAAGAGAGACACGAUGAACCAAACCCAAAAUAAAAUGCUUGGAAAGUACGUAUAAAUUUGGAUUUUAAUGUUAAAUACCUCAGUGGACAAUUUUGUAUUGAUGUCCUUAUAUGCAAACAAACACAAGGCAACAACAAUCUUAGUCUCUUUGUGUUUGUAAUAUUCUUGGAUUAUAUAAAUACACCUGAGCUUGAGUAGUUAUUUGUCAUAUGUGGUUGUAUUUAGAAAUUAAUGUCUUACCCGACAACACGGAUUAUAUGUGAUGAAAUCAAGAAAAUUAUGCAUAGUCAAACUUAACACGAUCAAAAAGUAGCUCACAAUCCAAAAUGACUAUGAGCUCUAACUUUGAACUUUGGUUUACAAUUAGAGACUUUAGAUUGCACUUAUCAAAUGAGCAGAACAUUUCCGUUUGAGUUCUUGUUUUUUUCUAAAAAAAUGAAUGUAAAUUUUUUUUUUUUUUUUUUUUUUUGUUUGAAACACAUUCAUUGCAUUUAAAAGUUAGCCAAAGUUUGUUGUAGCCAUUAAUACAAGUUCAGAAGACAGCUUCUUCUUUGCCAAUUCAUCUGCUUCCCUAUUACACUCACGAGAGAUCCAAGCAAAAGAGAUGAAAUCAAAAGAAAAACUAACAGACUUGAUAUCCUCCACAAUGCCGUAGAGUUCCAAGAAAGAUUGAUCCGAGGUCAAAGCCUUGAUAAGUUGAGCACAGUCAGAUUCACAGCGGAGCCUUGGGAGUCCAAGAUCUCGACAUUUUAAAACUGCUUCUCUUAACGCCAUUCCUUCCGCAAUCAGCGGAGAUCCAACAAACCUAGCUGGCUCAGAGAAAACAGAAGUUCUGUUUUGCGACUUAAUGAUCCACCCGAGGCCUGCAACUUUCUUAGCUUCGUUCUAAGCUGCGUCCGACCUCACUACCACACAGUCUUCCUGAAGAGAUGCUCGCACUGGAGGGUGCUUCUGCUUCGUCGAGGUUUGAGCUUGACUUUGGUUUCAUUCUCUCGCAGCCGCUGAAGCCAGCGUGAUUACUUCCGUAGCAGUGGACCCUUUAUCAUUAAACAUGAGGCUAUUCCUUGCCUUCCAGAGCUGCCAUAAGAUCCAUGGAGCUAGAGAUCCUAUUGCGAUACCUGUCGGUGGGAGCGACUGACGAGCCAACAUGCUGUUCCAUUCGCUCCUUAACUCCGUGGUUCCAGCAUAUUCAAUACUUGGCCAAACCGGUACCAAUGCCCAGACACGUUUGGCAAAAGAACAAUGCAAGAACAGAUGAUCAAUCGUCUCAGGUAAUCCACACAGUUUACACUUCCCAUCUACCUUAAUAUGUCGCGCUCUUAGUUGCUCGCCAACCGGCAAGGCUCUGUGAAACAGUUUCCAAAUGAAGAGUUUGAUUUUUGGGGCAGUGUGAAGGUUCCAUACCACUCUUUCUCCAGUUGAACUCCAGGAUUUCUUGCGGGAUGAGAGUGAUAUCAGUGUGCUUCGGGAUUGUAGCAGCAUAUCCAGUUUUGGUGGUGUAUUCUCCGGACUCAGACAAAAGCCACAUAAGCUUGUCUGGAGCACCCAUCAGACUUGGUUUCAACAUUCUAAUCUUAUGCUCCUCAAAAGGGAGCACUUGUUGUAUCAGGUCCAGGUUUCAUUCCCUUUUCUCCGGUAAGAACAAGUCUGCAACUGAGAGAUUGAUAAGAGCUUCAGGGGCAGGGCCCAUAGGUCUCUCUUGUGCUGUGAGACUGAGCCAUGGAGACUCCCAAACAUUCAAACUUUCUCCAUUUCCCACAGCCCAACCGGAGUUUUCAUUUAUUAAGUCGCGGCCUACCAUAAUGCCUCUCCAGCCAUGAGAGCAUGCGCUGCUUACCUGACAAGUAAGGAAAUCACCCGAGGGACAAUACUUUCCAAGCAAAAUUCUCCCAAGCAAGUUCGUCGGGUUACGAAUCAGUCUCCAGCUGAGUUUUGUUAGGAACGCAUCAUUGAUACUUUGAAUAUCACGAAAGUCUAGCCCUCCUUGAUCUUUCGGGAGGAUCAUCUUUGACCACGCUAUCCAUGACAUCUUGUUGGUGCCAUCGAUGUUGUCCCACCAAAAUCUGGUCAAGGCUGCUUGAAUUCUCUUGCACAGCGAGACCGGGAGCUAAAAGCACGUCAUUGCAAAUGACGGGAUAGGGGUGAGUACACUUUUAAGCAUCGUCAUCUUACCAGCUGUAGAUAGGAAUCUAUUGGACCAUCCUGCUGCCUUUUUUUCGGAUUCUGUCAAUGAUAGAUGAAAACAGAUCGCGUUUUUUCCUUCCAAAGAGCUCAGGUAGGCUAAGGUACUUUCCGGUGCCGCCUUCCUUCUGAAUCGAGUGGGUCUCUUUGACAGUAGCUCGCAGCGUCAAAGGGGUCAGGUGCGAGAAGGUAACAGCAGACUUCUCGGUGUUUAUCGAUUGACCAGAAACUUCUUCGUAUAAUUUAAGGACUUUUAUGAGAGCUUCAAUGCUUUCCUUGUUUGCUCUUACAAAGAACAUUGUAUCAUCGGCAAAGAGGAGGUGGUUUAGUCGAGGACUCCCUCGAGCUAUACAAAUUCCUUUUAGGGAACCCUCCGCUUGUGCCUUGUUACAUAGACCCGAGAGAACCUCACUACACAUUAUGAAAAUGUAUGGUGAGAGUGGGUCUCCUUGUCGGAUUCCCCUACUCGGUGUGACUUUUCCUCUAGGCGAACCGUUGAUGAGGAAAGAGUACGUAACAGUGGAUACACAUUGCAUCACUAAAGCCACCCAUUUCGGGUGAAAGCCUAAUCUUAGCAGUACACAUUUGAUGAAAUCCCAUUCCAAUCUAUCGUAUGCUUUGCUCAUGUCCGUCUUUACCGCCAUAGAGCACCGCUUCUCCGCAUCCGACGUUUUGAGGUAAUGGAGAACCUCAUGGGUGAUUAGAACGUUGCCCGAGAUGGCCCUUCCCGGAACAAAAACCGAUUGAUUCUCGGAUAUUAUCCCCGCUAGCAGUGACCGGGGUCUCUUCGUCAUGAUCUUCGAGAUGAUUUUGUAAUAGACGUUACAUAGUGCGAUGGGCCUGUAUUCCGCAACUCUCUGAGGGCUUUGUACUUUUGGUAUUAAGCGGAUAUGCGUCUCGUUAAUCCUUGCCGGUAGCCUGUCUGAAGCAAAAAACUUCUGAAUCUCCUUUACUAUCUCCUCGCCUAUACUGUCCCAGUUUGAGUGAAAGAAUCCAGCUGAGAACCCGUUUGGUCUAGGAGCCUUAUCGGCGUGUAUUGAGAAGGCUGCCUCCUUGACUUCCGCAGCUGAUGGAGCUUUGAUCAAGACCUCAUUUUGAUCCGAAGUCACCAUAGGUGAUAGAGCAUAGUUCACCGUGUAUUCUCUCUGUCCCUCCACGGAGGAGAAUAGUAUCUGGAAAUAGUGGACAAUGACUUUAGAGAUCUGGUCUUCCUCAUACACUGCCGUUCUAUCUUCGUCUUCAAUAACUGAAAAAGAGUUCGCUCUCCUCCUAUUUUUUGCAGUGGCAUGAAAGAACCCCGUGUUUUGGUCUCCAAGACUGAGCCAUAGAAGCCGGCUCCGUUGUCUCCAGUGUUCUUCUUCAGCCAAAUAAGCUGUAUUAAGAUCGUUUGAUAUCAUGUUGAUCAGCUCCGUAUCGUUUACAGGGUCCGUCAUGGCCUCCUCUAGUUCCAACUUCUUUUUCUCAAUGAGAAGUAUACUGUUAUGAUAUCUUCUCUUACUCCACUCUAUUAAGGCUGAUCGGAUUAGGUUUAUUCUGUCAUUGACAGAUUUAUUCCUAGCCUUCUUCCACUCCAAGUUCACAAGAGCCUUGACUUCCGGGUUAUCUCUCAGUCUCCUAUCGAACCGAAACAGUCCACGUCUCUUCUUCUUAUCCGGUUCGAAGAAAGACACUAUUGGUUUAUGAUCUGAGCCUUCAUAUGUCAGAUAUUGGGAUCUUGCUUUUGGAAAGAGUUCAGCCCAGAAGCUGUUGGCAACCGCUCUAUCCAAUCUGCAUCUUACAAGGUGGUCCCCUCGUUUUCCUCUCCAAGAUAAACAAUCACCAGAGUGUUGUAAGUCGUACAAAUCUCCUUCCGAGAAGAAAGUGCGCAAAUCUACGAAAGAGCUUUCCGGUCGCUCAGGCCCUCCCACUUUCUCUGCGUUGUUGGUCAGGUCAUUAAAAUCACCAGUGACGAACCACGGAGCAUCUCUUGAGGCAUUGAGCGAUAGGAGAUGAUCCCAAAAUAUCCUACGCUUAGGCUUGUCCGUGUCAGCGUAAAUAAAGGAGGCAUAGAAAAUUUUCCCUACGUAUUCAAUGCAAGUAUCAAUAAGGUUCGCACUAGAGCUUACAAUACGAAGUUUAAUUUCCUGUUUCCACAAAAGAGCUAAACCCCCUGCACCAUGGCCAGUUGGGGGAACCAGAAGGAUGUUCUCGUACUCCAGUUGCUUCGUCUUCUUAAUCACGAAGCUGUCGGGAUUUUGGUUUCCGAGAGAAAGAUGAUAUCCGGAUCAAUAGAUUUUCUCAUCUCCCGUAACCUACGAACUGUCCGGGGAUUCCCUAACCCCUGACAGUUUCAGCUCGCUAUUUUUAAGGACCGAGAGAAGAUGGAUUUUGAAAAUCCAUCCUUCUUCUAGUGGCCGCAGGGAUCAUGUUGCAAAUGGGUUGAUCCUCCGAAUUGGUUGCUGAGGCUGAUCUUGCAGUUGAUUCCCGCGACGUUCCAGUUCUGGCUUUUGUUUUCCUUCCUAGAUGAGUUUCUGGGUUUGGCUUACGUCGGGACUGCGUGGUCUUUGGUUGCUGUAGCUUUCUUUUCCUGGACCUUGAGCCUCUUAUCAGAUUUGGACUUGACUGUAUCGUUCGACAACCUGGUGGCCUUCCUGGUUUGCGUUUCUCGGUUGUUCCUGUCACUACUCCAUCCACAGGACUCAGAGGAGGGGCUAUAGGUACUCUCUCAAUUGAGGGAACCUCUUUCAACUGUUGUUGUUCUUCAGGUUUGUCGCCCAAGGAAGCUUGGACCAUACGAGCCGCUGUUUCUUCCAGUUGGCCCUCAUUUUCAGCUUUGCGAAGUCUCUCUUUGCGUGUCGCACUCUCUGUAGGGUCAGCACAUUGUGUGUACUGUACCAUAACCUCCCUAACUUCCUCCAGCGCUUCAUUGAAGGCUUCAUGAGGAACUGAUUGUUGAUCCUGAAGGAGAGGAUUCCCUUUUUCAUCUGUAUUUCUCAGGCCUUUUGAUGAGUUUGUUUCUUCUCUUCUAUGCCUCUCUCUUCCGCGAGGGCUUGAUGGGGAGUUAUUGUGCUCUAAAAUCGAAGGAUUUCUAUGCUGGUUCUCACUCCGUUGGGGUGAUCGAGAAUACCUAUCUCUCCUGUAGUAGGAUGCGUCAUCCCUCUGACUAGUGGUUCUACUAUAGUAGCUUUUCUGCUGAUCUCUAAGGGGUUCCUUAGGGCGAUGCUGGUGUGCCUCAUGGAGGGACCUUGAUCUGCGUUGGGAGUCAAUAGUGGCCCUUGCAUCAUAGUGAGGAUCAUAAGACUUGUAUCUGACAUUUCUCUUUCUGUCAGGGAGCCGGGAGUUGUGUGCAGAGAAUAGAAAGAUAUCAGUCUCCCGUGGAGGUUUGUGUCCUCCAUCACGUAUCUGAUCAAUCUCCAGCGGGAGGCUCCCUUCCCCAUCUGUAGCUUUCCGAGCUUUUGCCUCAUGUUUUGCAACCAGACAGUCAUUGACAUCGUGGUCCAAUUGGAAACCCUUAGAACAGUGGCGUUCAAGCUUUUCAUAGACAAAGGUCGCAGUUACUUCGUCUCCAUUUGAGUAUUCUAUGACAGACGACUUUAUAAGCGGUAGCCGUCCGUUUAUCUGCACUCGCAUUCUCAUCGACAGGGCUGUGACUUCUACCUUUUCAAAUACUCCAAUAUCUUCUCCUAAGCUUCUUGAAAUUGCCUCAGACCAUAAAUGAAUUGGUACAUCUUGGAUAUUUAUCCAGAAAGGGAUGAGAGAUGGGAAAGAUUCUGAUACAAUAGGUUCCCACCUUUGAACAAUUACCAUCCAUCUAGCAAAAUGGUAUGGUCUUCUCUCUAGAACUGCCAGUAGGUCUUCUUCCUUAGCAAACUUGAACUGAAACAUUCAAUUUCCAAGUUCAGAGCCUAUAGGUAUGUGCUCUGUUUUCCAGAGGUGGGUGAAGAAAGGGAUAAGAGACCACAUUUUCUGAACCGACUGAUUUGUGACUCUCCCUAUCAGGGUUAGAGAGUAUUGUUGUAGGAGCGAGUUAUCAGGAGCAUGAGCUUUGAUUCGAGCUGUUCUGGGAGCUUGGUAGGGAUCCAAGUCCAAACUCUUCCCCUUGUCUUCCUUAGAAAAUCUUCCUUUAGUCAUUUUCUUUUAGUUGGGAUAGUUUUCUACUGUGGUAGAUCUCAGAUGGAAAAUAACCGAUGUUGUCGUUGCUAACGGAAUCCCGUUCAAAUACUAGAGCUCGACUGUCUCUCGAUCCGGUCGAAACCUUGAGCUUCCCUUGUUGCAGGUCUUCCGGAGGAGGUGAACUGCAAGGUUCAGGAGCUGAUGGCGGACCCUCCGACCCGAGUCGGGGGCGUGAACCCAGGGGAUAAAGGACAAGGCUCUGUAUUAUCCUCUGGUUACUGCUAAAACAGGAAGGAAUUUGAAACUUUUUCAGAAGUUUCCAGAGGAUUUCCACUGAAACGUGCUAAAAGCUGACACUGGAAAGAAGGUGAGGCCUUAGGACCGCGGGGUAACGACCUCCAUCGAAAUAGGUGUCUGGGAGAAACCUCUCUCACUUUAUCAUAGUUUAUGCACAGUGGCAACUGGUUUAACUAAACUAUGAAUGAAUGAAUGUAAAAUUUAUUCAAAGUAAAUAAAAUGUUUGUUACAUCAAAUAUAUAAUUCAAAAGAGUAAUUUGGAGGAAUUUUAGCCAAAAAUAUUUUGACGAUAUAAAAUAAUCAAAUCAACUAGUUAAUUUUCUUUCAACAUGUACCAUCGUGUUAAGUACACCAUUAUCAAUGGACCCGCUUGGAGAAAAAAGAAUUAGCAGUCAAAAGGGAAAUUAGGAAAGCUCAAAAAGAAUUGUAAAGGAAAGUUGAUCAAAAACUGCCCAAACAAGAGCAACAUGGUAGGGCACUUCUUUGAGUUUAGUAAAAAAAUCAAACAAACUAAUUGAUAGUAAUUAUCUUUGCAUGAGUUUAUGCACGCCACAUGUCGAUUCCCAGUAGACUUAUUUUAUUUUUCUUUUUGUUAUUUUGAUGUCACGUAAUGGUUAUGGGUUUCAUAUAUUAAAUUAGGUUUUGGUUUGAACUAUUCAGUUAUAAUUAAUAAAUUAACUCUAAAUUUCUUUCAAAUCAAGUGUUUAAUAUACAUAUUAUCUGAAAAUGUGUUUGCAUUAUUUUCUUGUACAGUGGUCAAAAUUAGUUAUAUGUAUCAAACUAUAAAACAAAUUAUUGAACGUUAUUGAUUUUGAUCAACAAUGUAGAACAUUUUAAGUAAACACACAAAUUUAUAUUAACAAUUACGUUUCUAGUUCUAUCAGAUGAGAUACAAUUCGAUAAACUUGAAUCGUUAUUUGGAAUCUAACUUUUUAUUUUAUAUAAGAGAUGGUUACAUAUAUAUUUAAUUUACACUUUGAAACAUUUGGGUUAAUUAUCGCACUAGUAAAGUAUAAAAGCAUUUCGAAUGCUAAUAUUUUAAGGGCUUAUUAGCCAACUAGUCAUAUUUAAAAGACAAAUUAGGGGAAUGACAAUGAUUUUGACAUAACGUAGAAACUAAUAUUUACACUCUAAUUCAUCCGGUCAUACCUUUUCUCUUUGCCAUUAUCCGGUAAUAAUGUAUUUUGUGUGUCCACAUAGUCUAUGUAAUACAUGGUCAAGUAUGUCUAAAUAUAUUUCAUUAAAAAGAAAGAAUCAUCCACGUUACGCUUUUAUUAGUCACAUACAUAUACACCGAAUGUUCUACUCCAUAUAACUGAAAUAGUAUAGAUUAUAACCUAACCUAUAAUCCGUAAUACUAAACAUAUCACAACCCCAAAUCCUAGAUGCUAAACCUUAUCCCAAUCACACAUCAACCUCUAAAUACUAAACCCUACAUUCUAAUCAGUAAACCCUAAACCCAAAUAUAAAUCAUAAAUCCUAAUAUAAAACCAAAACCCAAGUAAAAUGAAAAAAACUAAAUAACAUGGUACAUAUUGGAGAAAUUAUGAAUGUUUAUAAUUGCAUGGAAAAAGUUAAUGCUAACCCCAAAUAUACUCUCUCACCUUCUAAAUGUUAAACCCUAAACCCGAAUCACUAAACCCUUAUCCAAAUAUAAACCCUAAA